GAUGAACGCUGGCGGCGUGCCUAAUACAUGCAAGUCGAGCGAACAGACGAGGAGCUUGCUCCUCUGACGUUAGCGGCGGACGGGUGAGUAACACGUGGAUAACCUACCUAUAAGACUGGGAUAACUUCGGGAAACCGGAGCUAAUACCGGAUAACAUUUUGAACCGCAUGGUUCAACAGUGAAAGACGGUCUUGCUGUCACUUAUAGAUGGAUCCGCGCCGCAUUAGCUAGUUGGUAAGGUAACGGCUUACCAAGGCAACGAUGCGUAGCCGACCUGAGAGGGUGAUCGGCCACACUGGAACUGAGACACGGUCCAGACUCCUACGGGAGGCAGCAGUAGGGAAUCUUCCGCAAUGGGCGAAAGCCUGACGGAGCAACGCCGCGUGAGUGAUGAAGGUCUUCGGAUCGUAAAACUCUGUUAUUAGGGAAGAACAAAUGUGUAAGUAACUAUGCACGUCUUGACGGUACCUAAUCAGAAAGCCACGGCUAACUACGUG
Molecule: ribosomal RNA, 497 nt
Filed under: uncultured bacterium
Lineage: Bacteria
Description: partial 16S ribosomal RNA
Rfam family: Bacterial small subunit ribosomal RNA
Source: RNAcentral